GGGAAAGGGGGGGGGGGGGGGGGCAGGGAAGGAGGGAGAGAGGGAGAGAAAUGUCACCCGUAGCCCGGGCCCGCGGGGGAGAGGUGGCGCGUUAGAGAUGUGUGUGGGAGAGCGAGAGCGAGAGAGAGAGAGAGAGAGAGAAAGAGAAAGAUAGAGAGGGGGAGCGAGACCUCCGCCGGCCCCGCGAACUUGUCAAGUAGAAAACACGAAGCCUUUGGUCUCAAGGAACUUAGACCAUCAUGGCUACGAAAACUACUGCUACUCAGAAAGUAUGUAAUUCUGGAGCUCCUUAGUGACGAAAGUAGUGCAAGGCAACAUCAGAACAGUUGCCAAGUGAUCUUCUCCACAGCAUGCAUGAACUUCAGCCUGGAACUGAAGAGGACUCAUCAAAUGCCUUAGGAAAGACAGCAUGGAGUUGGAAGAGAAGCAGGGAUCUCCACGAAGGGAGUUAUAUUCUUGGUGUGUGGAGGAACAGGUCCUGUUCUCGCUGUUGUUACUCCCACAUAGGCAGACUGUAAUUGAUUAUGUGUGGGUAGGGCCCUAUUGAAAUUCAGGAGAUUCUGCAGUAGUGCGGGGUUCUUUUUGUGAAAGUUCAGUUGCAAGAUCAGGACCCCACUGUGACUCCUAACUGUGAAUUCUGUCAGUGUAUCAUUGAUUGUGCUGGAACCUGCCUUUUGGGAUAAUUACCAAAUACUAUAUUCCUCAAAACUUCUUAAUGGCACUGAGGCUUUGUGGAUAGUUGGUCACAUGAGAAAAUUGAGCUGGAGUGGGCAUUUGCUGCACAGCUACACAUUGUGUGGACUUGAGAAUACCUCAAGAGCUGAAAUGCUGAACUACAGCAACAGAGCCCAUCAAGACUACUUCUACCUGAUACCUCUCCUUCAGUAUCAAGAGUUUCACUCUGGUUUUGAUCAACAUAGGAUGCCAACUUCCAUCAUUCAAUCAUUACAUUUUCAGACCACACUGGAUAUUUUCUUCUCGACUGCCUCUCAUGUAUUGGUUGACUUCUUCAUAAACAGAAAUGUUCACUAUCUUCCUUUAAAUUUCUUCUUAAAAGUUUUAUGUACUGUGAAGCUUAAAACAAUCUCACUAGACAACAGAUAUAUUGCAGGUAUAUUAAUGCCAACACAUAUCACAGUAGUACUGUGUCGUUGCAUUUGUACUCUGCCAUAAUUUCUCUGUUGUCUCUUUAUGUAGAAUUUAAGCACAUCUAUAUUUUGUUUUGUGUUUAUUCAUGGUCCAGCGUAAUGUGAAGUGGUCCAGGGUAAGGCCUUCCAAGAUUUAUGGUAAUACAAAUAAAUAAUAAUGAAUACCCGCUGGAUGCUGUAGUGUAGCUGUUAGAUUCUGUUGUGCCUAAUGUCACAUCAUAUUUAAUGCAGAAAGAAGGUUCUCCAACUAGAGGCCUCACAAAAGGGAAAGAAGUGAGUUGCAGCCAACAGAAAAAAUGCUAGCCUCAGAGGCCUUCUCAGCUGUCAAACUCAAGUCAGUAGCUACUGGCAUUGUAUCCUGAAAGCAUCCCUCUCUUCUCUUCUCUAUAGCUAUAAGAACAGAUUCUCCCUCCUCACAUAAGGAAGUAAAUGCAAAUAUCACAAAGUUCUGCAGUGUGUGCAGAAGGUUAAAGGACUUUUUGUGCUUCCAUAGCAUCCUUAGUUCGUUCCCUUCCUGACACAGCCUCUCUUGGUACAGAAAUCUUGAAUAACCACAACUGUGCCAUUUGUCAGUCUUUUUUUUCAAAUGCCACUUGAUUUUUGUUGAGAAGGAACUUUAGUUUUUAUUUGGUAUCUUGGCACAUUGCUAUCUCAUAGUGCUCUGUUUCCAUUGUGCCCUGAGGGUAAUGAUUCUUCAGAAGAGUGUUAAGGAUGAAUUCCAUUAGAAAUUCCCCAGGUCUGUCACCCUCUUUCUGUAAGUGAGCCUGCAUGUAACCCUUUCCUUUCUUUCAAAGGGAUGAUGAAAUAUCAGAGUAUAGGUCAUACAGAGAUGAUGGAAUGUUUAGUGCCUGGCUGAUACAGAGAUGGUAGAUUAGACUAUGCAGACAAAUGAUGCUGUAUGUACCAAAGAAAUUAUAGUCAAAUAAUUUUAUCAGAAUAAGCAAAAAAACUUAAUUACAAGUGGUUCUGUAGCUGAAUAGGAGAAGUUUAAUAAGAGCUCUGGGCUAGUUGAUGGGAUGGAGACAGUUGCUGUGAAAUACUGUGGGAGAUUGGAGCGGCUGUACACCCCAAAAGCUUGAUUGUAGCAAGAGUCCUUGGUUAUAUAUGUACAGACUGGAUAAACUUAACAUUCUGCUACAUUACACCAUCUUGCACAGGCUGUGUAUUUAAAUAUCAUCAAGAACUACUUUUUGGGCAAACAAGCUAGAGAAUCCAGAAGAGGGGGACAGCCCUUGAUUUAGUCAAGAUCAGCACACAACAAAUAGAAGAACCAUUCAGUAGUGAGAUAUCAUAUUCAAGUUUCUCAUACUUGUAGGAGAGAAAAAGAUUAAAAUAAAAUGAAAAAAAGGCCCAGUGUUGUGUAAAAAAGAAUUGCAUACUAAUGAAGAUACAGUUUAAAUAAAUAUUAAAAAAUUCACAGGGGCUUUGUUUUCUGAGCCUAACCCAGUUGAAUAAGAAUUAUCUUACACAAUUCAACAGUAAAGGAAAUUACUAGAAAUUAAUAGAGCUUUUUAAAAAAGUUAAAAUCCAAGCAAGCAAAGCAGAAAAGAGCACAAUUCUGGCAAGUUAAAUGUAGACCUGUUAUAAGGCAGAACAAAAAGAUUUUGAAAUGCAAUGGGCUAAAAUUCUAAAAACCAAACCCCAUUUUUUUCAAGUGUAAAUUUUGCUAGUAAGGAGGUAAGUUUAAGAGGUAAUUGUGGUUAAGGAGAAUAUUGAAGACAAAGCCAUCACAGAAAGAAACAAUUGAAUUCAUUGCAUUGGCAAGGUUUAUGAUAGAGAUUAGGGACAUCCCUACAUAGAAAUCAUUUUUACAGGGAAUAGUUCAGAUUUGAAAUAUCAAUAAAAGAUGUUUUAACAAAUUGAUAGAAUAAACUUUAAUAAAUUGCCAAAAAACAUGUUCAUUCAGUAGUCCUAGAAAAAGUCAGAAAUUAAAUUG
This is an RNA transcript of Chiroxiphia lanceolata (lance-tailed manakin), 3084 nucleotides long. RefSeq lists it as uncharacterized. The transcript is spliced from 8 exons. NCBI's taxonomy places the organism in Eukaryota, Metazoa, Chordata, Aves, Passeriformes, Pipridae. The record is from RefSeq and is a predicted model, not a curated record.